GUUGUAUAGAAUAAUUGUCAGGUUUCAUGUGACCUUGAAGUUGACCUCAAGUUCAUGGUUCAUUAGUCAAUGUAAUUUGUGGUUUUGUCAGUUUAUCAAAUACUAUUAAAUGUAUUAGCAAUAGGUCAACUAUUAUAUGUCUGACUGGUGGGCUUCAUCUGACCUAAACCUCAAUUUUAUGGUUCAUUGGUCAAUGUUUAGUUUUUGUGGUUUGAUUUAGUUUGUUGAUACUAUAAGCAAUAGCCAUAAGAGCCACUUUAGUUUGUGUAUGGAAUGACUUCUGUGUACAGGUCUGACUGGCAGGUUUCAUUUGACAUCAUUUCAAUGGUUCACGGGAUAGUGUUAAGUUUUUGUGGUUUGAUCUAUUUCAUUGAUACUAUGAUCAAUAUGGCCACUAUAUUUUGUGUAUGGAAUGACUUCUGUGUACAGGUUUGACUGGCAGGUUUCAUUUGCCCUUGACAUCAAUUAAAUGGCUCACUGGAUAGUGUUAAGUUUUUUGUUGUUUGGUCUAUUUCUGAAAUCUAUAAGCAAAAAGGCCACUAUAUUUUGUUAUGAAAUGAUUGUAAGGUGUACAUAUCUAAAUGACAGGUUUCAUAUGAUGUUGACCUCAUUUUCUAAUUUCUUAUUUUUUGUUGCUGUCAGUUUGUAUUUUUUUGGUGGGGUUUUAAAUAGUUUUCUCCGUUGUGUUUUGAGUACUGUUGUUGUACUAUGGACUUUUUCUUUGAUUUUUUUUUUCUGCCAUGGCGUUGUCAAUUUUCGACUUAUGAGUAUGAAUGCUCUUUGGUAUCUUUUGCCUCUCGUUUUAAAUUUCUGUGACUUUAUUGUUGGUUUGAUAUGUACAUAUCAUAUCCUGGAAAGUGUUGAAUUUUAAGACUUUUUGAUUUUUUACAUCACAAAAUAUAGCUAACAUCCAAUGUAAGUGAUUGUCAUCACUAAGUAGCUUUGUGUAAGAUUUGUGUUCAAAUCUUUAUUUGGAAGGUUGUUGUGCACUGAGUUUAUCAGGUUUAAUCCACCAUUUUCUACAUUUGAAAAUGCCUGUACCAAGUCAGGAAUAUGACAGUUGUUGUCUAUUCCUUUUUGAUGUGUUUUGUCAUUUAAAUUUUGCCAUGAUAAGGGACUUUCCGAUUUGAUUUUCCUUUGAGUUCAUAUUUUUGUGAUUUUACUUUUUGCAUACUAUAUUUUUU
This 1184-nucleotide long non-coding RNA is filed under the name Mytilus galloprovincialis (Mediterranean mussel). The record is from RNAcentral. Lineage: Eukaryota; Metazoa; Mollusca; Bivalvia; Mytilida; Mytilidae.